AACGUAGGUCACAAGCGUUGUCCGGAUUUACUGGGUGUAAAGGGAGCGUAGACGGCACGGCAAGCCAGAUGUGAAAGCCCGGGGCUCAACCCCGGGACUGCAUUUGGAACUGCUGAGCUAGAGUGUCGGAGAGGCAAGUGGAAUUCCUAGUGUAGCGGUGAAAUGCGUAGAUAUGUGGAAGAACACCGAUGGCGAAGGCAGCCUCCUGGGACAUAACUGACGCUCAGGCACGAAAGCGUGGGGAGCAAACAGG
RNAcentral lists this ribosomal RNA (253 nucleotides) under Dorea longicatena. RNAcentral's name for it is "partial 16S ribosomal RNA". It matches the Rfam family "Bacterial small subunit ribosomal RNA", at positions 524 to 776 of the family's 1533-position model. Lineage: Bacteria; Bacillati; Bacillota; Clostridia; Lachnospirales; Lachnospiraceae. The record is from RNAcentral.